RNAcentral lists this ribosomal RNA (478 nucleotides) under Globocephalus sp. 1 AC-2020. RNAcentral describes it as "partial small subunit ribosomal RNA". The record is from RNAcentral. Lineage: Eukaryota; Metazoa; Nematoda; Chromadorea; Rhabditida; Ancylostomatidae.
CGGCUAGGCUUGUGAAAAUUUAAACUUUAUUUUGUUUUAAUUAUAAUUUUUUUAGAUAAUUUUAAUAAUUAUAGGUUAAAUUUUAAUUAUUAUAGGUGUUAAAUUAUAAUUUUAAAUUUUGGGAAUCGAAUUAGAUUAGUACCUAAUUAGUCAAAAAUUAAAAGAGCAGGAGUAAAGUGGUAUUUAAACUGAAAGAAUAUUGGCAGAUUUUCUAAAUUAUCUUUGGAGGUUGAGUAAUAAUUGAGAACCCUCAUUAACUACUUUUAAAGUUUGUCUCAUGUAUGAUCGUUUAUUUUAUACUUAAGGUAUAUAAUAAAAAAUUUUUAUUUAUAAAAAUAGAUAUAUAUUUGGUUUAUGUAAAAGUAAAAUUUGACCUACAAUAAUUUAUGUUGUGGAUUUGUAAAUUUGUAUUUAUAAUGAAAAUGUAAAAGACAGUAAAAAAAUUUUUAUGAUUUUUUGAAGAUUAUUUAGAUGUGGC